RNAcentral lists this ribosomal RNA (428 nucleotides) under uncultured Bacillota bacterium. Its description in RNAcentral is "bacterial SSU rRNA". It matches the Rfam family "Bacterial small subunit ribosomal RNA", at positions 67 to 524 of the family's 1533-position model. The record is from RNAcentral. Lineage: Bacteria; Bacillati; Bacillota.
CAGGAAGGUUUACCGGAAUGUAUUCUAGUGGCGGACGGGKGAGUAACUUGUGAGGAUCUGUCCUUAUCUGGGGGACAACAGUUGRAAACGCCUGCUAAUACCCCAUAGUCCGCAAGGUGAAAGGCGUAAGCCGGAGAGGGAGGAACUCGCGUCCUAUCAUCUAGUAGGCGAGGUAAGAGCUCACCUAGGAGAUGACGGGUAGCCGCCCUGAGAGGGCGCCCGGCCACACUGGAACUGAGAUACGGUCCRGGCUCCUUCGGGAGSCAGCAGUGGGGAAUAUUGGGCAAYGGGGGCAAUCCCUGACCCAACGCCUGUCCGCGUGAGGGAUGAAAUCUCUUGGGAUGUAAACCUCUGUUGUACGGGAAGAWAACAAUGACGGUACCGUACGAGGAAGCCCCGGCAAACUACGUGCCAGCAGCCGCGGUAAU